UUUUGCUUCGGGAUGCCGUUGAAGUCCGAACCAAAUAGUAUCCACCUCUUUGCAUUUAUUUUCACUUUAGCCCUUUCUUUUUUUAUUUAAUAUUUUUCUUUUUUGCUCCUUUAAUUUUCACAGUUCCUCAUUACCCACAAAUUCUUUCUCUUGGAGAAGUUAAUUACACUUCAGUAUAACUCUUGGCUAUCAAUUUAGAUAAAAUUUCUCGAAAAUUCUUGUGGGCUUCUUGAAUUGUGAGGAUUCAUUGAUUUUCUUAGGGUUCUUCAAGGAGGAUAAUAUAUUACACUAUUACGGAAUGGAAGGGGAAUAAAAUGAGGAAAUACCUGCAAAUAACCUAAAUAUAAGAGUGAAUUGUGAUAUUAGACCUGAAAAGAUAAUUAUUUUAAGAAUAGCCUUUGAAUAACAAUCUUUCCAAAAAUACCCCUCAUAGAGAAUUUGCAACUAAAAGCAUUACAAUGUAUAAAAGCCUUCAAUCAGGUCCCCAAAGAAAUAUAGAUCAUGAAUCUUUAAUAAAUUUAACCCCAAAUAUUAUAUAAAUUUUAUUGAUUUAAGAAAUGCAACAGAUAAUAAAUUAAAUUAUUUAAAAGAAGAUCUGAAGAGUUUUUUUUACAGAAUAUUUAGAUACAAAAUUAAAAUAUAAAAAUGUUUAUAUAGAUAAUAGAGCAAUCAAAAUAAAAAAUAAUAUACAUAAACUGAUUCUUAAACUGGAAAGAAGAAUUAACAAAUUAAAUAUAAUUAUUAAAGAAAAAGUUUUAACAAAAGAUAGUGAAUUCUAUAAAUUCUAUUAUAAUAUUUUAAAAACUUAUGAAGAUUUUAAUUGGAUUCAAAAUCUUAACCCCUCCGCUGCACACUCCGAAAAAAUGGUAACAGAGCCAUGUUACGAACCUAAAAUUAUAAUGAACUUAGUAGAUGAAGAAAAUAUAAUUGAAGAAUUUUUAAAAAAAGUUGAAAAACAUAAAAAACCAAGUUAUCUCUACUUACCUAAAAACCCCACAAAUGAAAGUUUUGAGGAUAUACACAAAAGACUAGAAAAUUUAGAAUAUAAUCUACAAGUAGGAAAUGUUCUUUUAGAUAAAAACCAUAAAGGAAAAGAUAGGAUUAUAAUUAAUCCACCUCAAGAUUUUAGGAUAACACAAAAAGAAAAUAAUAAAGGGACAAAAAUGAAGAAAAUCAAUAUAUAAUUACAGAUGUAGAAGAACUAGAACAAAAAUUCUUAGAAUCUACAUGUGAAAAGUAUGAUGAAUAUAAAAAACAGUUAGAAGAAUUAACUGAAAAAAUGAAAAAUAUAAAGAUGAAUACUAAUCCCCAUCAACAAGUCGAGAUAUAAAAAUAGAAUUCAGUAGUGAUGAAGAAUAUGAUUAUCCUUAUCAUACAACGAUACUUAUUAAAGAAAGUAUUAAUUAAUAUAGAAAAACACAGAAAAGAUACCCUGGGAAUAUAAGAAAACAAUCCAUAAAAUAAACAAAUCCAAUGGAAUCUUAUAAUGAACUAAUCUACACAACAGUAAUAUGGUUAGAUCUAGACUGUGUAGAUAAAAAUAAAGCUAUUGAAACAUGGACGAAAAGUACAGACUUUGCAAUACAAUUUAAUAAAUGAGAAACAUAUACAGCUUUUGAAUUUAUAGAACAUACAUUCAGAGGAAUUGUUUCUGAAUGGUGGAGAAGGUUAUCAUAAUCUAUAAAAGAAAGAAUAAAGUAUGGAGAAAAUAGAACUGAAGCAUUAGCUAACGGGAAUACUUUAAAUGAUUGAAAUAUACAAGAAAUAUUAAAAAGAUUUGAAAGAGCCUUAAGAGCAGAGUUCUUAGGAGAUAGAUAUGCUUCUAAUGAAGAAGAUAGAAAACAAGACGAAUAUAAUGAAUGAAUGAUAGCAAUGAAAAAUUUAAAGAUAUGUGAUAUGUGUGAAUUAGAAAGAUAUACAUGUAAAUUUGAAGAAUUAUACUAUAUAUUAAAUCAAGAAGAUUAUCAAGAAAAUAAGCCUAUAUUAAAGUCUUAUUUUACGAAGUUACCAUUCCCAUGAGAAAUUAAGUUAUUAAAAGAAUAUGAGAAGUUAUUACCUUUAGGAGAAGAGGGAGGAAUAAAAAUAGAUGGUAUUGAAAGUAGGAUUGAAUUUACAAAAAGAAUGAUAGGCAUGUGGUGCAGAGAAGCUCUACAGAGUAGGAAAACAUAUAAAAUAAGAAAAAAUUUCUUGUGUUGUUACAAAGAUAUAGGCCAAAUUGAACAAUUUGGAUGCCAUAAGAAGAAAUAUAAAUCAUAUAAGAAAUAUAAAAGAAAAUUCAAAAACUACAAAAAAUUAAAGAAAAGAAAUUUUAAACCACACAAAAAAUAUUUCAAGAAAAGAAAUUGGAAUAAAAAAUCCAAACCAAGAAAUAUUAAAAAAUGUAGAUGUUUCAUCUGUAAUGAAGAAGGAUAUAUUGCCCCUCAAUGUCCUAAAAAGAAGGAUAGACAGAAUAUAAAAAUUCUUAGAAUUUAUGAAAAAUUCUAGAAUUUAUGAAAAAUUCUAAGAAGAUAGUGAUAUCUAACCAAUUGAAUAUUUUGAAGAUUUAAGUAGUGAAUGCAGUAGCAUUUAUGAAUUAGAUACAUCCUCAUCAAAGGAAGAUUCUGAGAAGAUAGCAUAUAUGAAUCAAGAGAUACAACAAGCAAAUCUAGAAAUAGAAGUAGAAACAACUGAAGAAGUUGAAGACUCGAUAGAAGGUAUAAAUCAAGAAAUUACCUUUGAUAUUAAAAAAUACAAAGGAAUAACCAAGAAAAUAAUAGACAUACAAGAAAAAGAUGUAUUCUAUCCAGGAUUUUUAGGAGUACUACCAAGAGUAAAUAAAAAAAUUGUAAGUAUGAACUAUAAAGAAAUGUCUAUUAAAAUAGAAGAUACUAUAAGAAAAGCAAUAAUUCCUAUAAUUACAAAAGAAUGUGUAAAAUAAAAGUUAUCCAAAAUUCUGGAAAACAUAAUAAACAAGUUGAAAUGCAUUGAAAUAUAAGGAGUCCAGAUAAUGGUAAAAUGAUUCUUUAGAGAAGGUAUGAACAUACCAAUAGAAAUAUAUUGUAUGGACAACAGAAUCUUACAAGAUCCUAUAAAUGCUUUCUUAGGAACAGUUGUAGGAAACUUAGUCUAUCAAAAAGUGAUAUUUACAGUAAAACCAAAUUAUGCAAUAUCACUAAUUGAUGAUAAUAUUGACCAAAGUUUCAAUCUAUAUUAUAAAAUUGGAAACUUAAAAAUGUUAUGAAAAAGUAAAGCUAUAGUAUAAAUAUAAAAUCAAUUUUUGCCUUUAGUACUAGCCAUCAUAACAAUUUAAGAAAAAUAACUGAUAAUAUUAUUAUACAUAAAGAUUUUGAGGAAUUAGCACAAUAUAUACCUCCUAGGAAAUAUCAAGAACAUGAAGUCACUAUACCAGAACAGAGAAUGCUUGAUUUCCACAAACAAGCUAGAGAAAUUAAUUCUGAAGGAAAACUGAUAAAAAGAAAUAGUGUCAGUCUAGAAGGAGACAGUCUUAUUGCAAGAUUCCACUCUAGACAAGACUCUAAGAUAAGCAAAUUCAAGAAAUUAAGUAUUGCUGAACCAUCAAAUUCGCAAUAUUAUAUCAAAACACGAUAUGUAAAUCAAGAAGGAUAUAAGAAGAAUCUUCUUGUCCUCAUAGACACUGGAGCAGAUAAAAGUCAUGUAAAUGUUAAAUUUGUUAGUCAUUUAAUAGAUUUUGAAUUACUAAAACCAUAUAUAUUAAAGGAUUAUUUAGGAAAUAAUCUCGAAAUAAGAAAAUAUGUAAAGUUCCCUCUUAUACUUAUGGGAGAGGAUCACAAAGAAUAUACUAAAGAAAUAAUUCUAUACAAAGAUGAAUUUUAUGGAGUAGAUCGUUCACCUAUACUGCUAGAAAUGAACUUUCUUGAGAAAUAUAGUCCUUAUAAAAUCUAAUAAGGAUAUUUAAAAAUAACAGUUGAUGAUAAUCCAAUCAUCAUUUCAAGAAUAGAUGAAAAUAUGAAAUCAUUGUUAUCAUGGAAAGAGUAAUCAGUACUAAUUCCAUGAGUCCAUAUAUUGAAAUUAUACUCAAUAUAAAAAGUUAUUGCAGAAUUAAAUUUCAUACUUACUUAGAUACAGGAAGUACAAUAAGCUUAUGCUUACUAAAUGUAUUACCAUCUGAAUACUGAAAAUAUAAUUCAAAGAAGAUCGUCACUGCUACAACAGCAGGUGGAAAUAAAGUAAUAUACAGCAAAUAUGUUACGCAAGUACCUUUUCUAAUUUCCUUUAGAGAAGUAUUUAUUGAUACAAUAUAUAUGUCAAACACAAUUGGAUGUGAUAUUUUAUUAGGACAAAAUUUUCCAUUAAAAUACGCACAAUUUACACAAUAUAUUGAUAAGUAUAUGUUCACAACUCCUUGUGCACACAAAAUAUUUACACCAAAAUAAAUAAGGCUGUUACCAUAGCAUAUAAAGACAUAAACCAUCAAAGUUCCUCAACCCAGCGUGAUGGAUGUUGGAGCACAGAAAAAUUUAAACCAGUUACAGUUCUAAAAAUGACAACAGAAAAUAGGUUAGAAAAAUUGAAAAAAGAAAUUUCUGAAACAUAUUCUGAAAAUCUAUUAGAAAAAUGGAAUACAAACAAAGUAAAUACAAAAAUAGAAUUAAUCAAUCCAGACACUAUAGUAAGAGUCAAACCCAUGAAAUAUAGUGUAGAUGACUAAAAGGAAUUUAAAGACCAGAUAAAAGAAUUGCUAGGAGCCAAUUUGAUUAGGCAUAGUAAAAGCCCACAUAGCAGCACAACCUUUAUGGUUAGAAAACAUAGCGAGAUAAAAAAAGGAAAAGUCAAGAUGGUGAUAAAUUAUAAAAAGUUAAAUGAAGUUAUCAAAUUUGAUGGAUAUUAGUUGCCAAAUAAGGACACCCUUAUUAAGAAAGUACAAAAUAAAAAGAUAUUCUCAAAAUUUGAUUGUAAGUUAGGUUUUUGGCAAAUCAUGCUUACAGAAGAAAGUAAACCAUUAACUGCAUUUAGUACCCCCAAUCCUUUAGGACAAUACGAAUGGAAUGUAAUUCCAUUUAGGUUGAAAAAUGCACCACAGAUAUUUCAAAGAAGAAUGGAUGAGGUAAUUAAACCAAUUACUCAUUUUUGUAUUGCAUAUGUAGAUGAUUUACUUAUUCAUUCAAAUAACAUUGAAAAACAUAUUGAACAUCUUGAGAAAUUUUGUUAUAUUAUGAAGAAACAUGGUAUUACACUUUCUCAAAAGAAAGCUGAGAUAGCUAAAACAGAUAUAUAAUUUUUAGGAUUAUUUAUAAAAGAAGGAGAAUUGCAAUUGCAAUCUCAUAUUGGAGAAAAAUUUCAAGAUUUUCCUAAAGAGAUCAAAGAUAAAAAACAAUUAUAAAGCUUCCUUGAUAUAUUGAAUUAUGCUGAAGGAUUCAUUGAAAAUUGUGCCAAACUAAAAAAUUAUUUUCUUCCAAAGUUAAGAAAAAAUGUAAUAUGGUCUUGGGAAAAACAAGAUUGUGAAAAUAUAAGGAAGGUGAAAGAAGAAUUAAAGGUAUUGCCCAAACUUAUAAUUCCACAAGAAGAAGAUUUCUUUAUCCUUGAAACUGAUUCUUCAAACAAUUACUGGGGAGCAGUAUUAAAGGUUAAAAAGAAUCAUAAGGAAUAUAAAUGUGAAAAGAAUUGCUCUUGUCCUGAGAUUCUUGCAGGUUAUAUAUCAGGAACAUUCAAAGAAGUUGAAACGAGAUAUGGGACGAACAGAAAAGAACUCAUUGCUAUAAAAAGGGGAGUUCAAAAAUAUGAAGAUUAUUUAUUAACAAAAAAAUUCUUGAUUAAAGCUGAUAAUACUUAAGUUAAAGUUUUUUUGAAAAAUAAUGUUGAUCCAUCUAUUGCCAAUAGAUAUAUUAUCAGGAUACAAAUUUGGUUUUCAUAUUUCAAAUUUGAUAUCGAAUAUAUAAAAGGUAAAACUAACUUUCUUCCUAAUUAUCUUAGCAGGGAUGGAGUUAGAGCAACUAAGGAUGAAAGUCCAAAUACUUGAGAUAAAAGUUUCCUAUUUGAAAACUCAAAUUCAAAAUAUCCAAGAUAGUCUUCAAGGCAAAAAUAUAGCCCUUGAGACAGAAGUAACUUGUACCAAGUCUAGUAUCCCUUCAUAGGGACCAGUAAAUACUAGCGCUCUCCCCGAGGAUAAAGGGAAAGAUAAGAAGGUAGUAGGAACCCCUUCACAGGGAAUACAUAAGCCUAUUACUGGUAAUGAAGAUAUUCAAAAUAUCAAAAGCGAAGGUAACUCUUCACAGAGCCAAACUAAAUCUAAACUUUCUAUUGAAAGAAUAAAUCCAAAAGAUAUUGUCAAAAUAUGCAAUGAGACAAAAUUUCCCAAAAGAUAACCUGAAUAAGUCAUAUUCUUUAUUGUUAUUUUUAAUGUUUUAUCAGAUUGGUAUCUGGAAAUAGGAAAGUGGAUGAAAACUCUCCACUAUGCAAAAUACAACAAGAUAAACUUCUAUCCAGAAGCACCAGCCAAUUGGGUAUGAAACUAUUUUGAGAUAGGAAAUAUACUCUGUAUAUAUCCCAGCAAAGAUCUCAAAAAAAUAGCCCAGCUUUCAGCCAACGUCAGAAAAGCUGUAAAAAGAUACACUGAAGUAGUCAAGACAACCAACGUAUAUAUCAGAUUCCAUUCAGCAACUAUGGAAUGAGAUCCCGUUCUUAAACAUAUGCAUCCAUCAUUUCAUGUUAUUAAAACGGGACUUACAAACCAACAUUUUUUACAAACCAAUCAAAAGAUUGUUAAAAAUGGAUACCAAGAUAUUAUAAAUAUAAUGCCCUACAGAAGAGCAAAAGGGUACAAAAAAAUAUUUGAAUAUGUAACUCAGAUUAUUACUGAGAAAGAAAAAAUAUGGAUUUAUCCAUCUGAAGACCAUAUAAUCUACUCCAAUGCAAGGAUAGCUACAAAUGAAGAAGAUAUAUGUUAUCUUGACCAAUUAUUAUCUGCAAUUAUUUCAAACCAAGUACAUGGAUCAGAAGAUAUGGCGAAAGAACUGUGCAAACUACUCUGGAACUACAGUAACGACCAUUGUGAAUACUGCGUAGUGGAAGAUAUGAGUCAAACAUCUCUCAACAGUGAAGAAUUCCUUGCAGAAUUCUUUAAUUUGAAGAUGAAAAAGUGAUAGAAACAAAAGUGGCCCUUUAUCACUACUUUAAUAAAGAAAUUUAUUAAAGAAAAACUGUGGCUACUAGAAAAUAGAAGAUAGCAAAAGAAAGUCUUCAUAAUCGUGACUACUCACCUACUGGUUGUCAUAAGUGAAAGACAAUUUCAAAGAUAAGGCAGAUAAUUUCUAAAAGAGAGAUCCACCUAGCAAGAAAAUAAUGGAGAAAUCGGCGGAGAUAAGACUACUGAGCCACCCAACAAAAGAAAAAAAGAGACACCUGUCAAGAUAAGAUUCUCAAAAUUUUCUAUAAAAGGGAGGAGAGAAAAGAAAGAGAGCAGUUCAAAGAACACUCUGAAAAAUCAUAUCUCAAAGAUAGAUUUUUUGUAAUCUGUAUACACCACUUGUAUUUAGAAAAUUUUUAGAUAGUCAGAGGAGAGCAAAGCUUGUAAUAAGGUAAUCACUUAUGGAGUUCUAAACUUCAUAAGGUGAGUACCAAAGAUAUGUAAAUAUAGAUUGUAAGCAUGCACUAUUUUAGUUUAUGAAUAUUAAAGUAAAGUUUGUUAUGUUCAACAAAACUUUCAUAAAAGGAUUUCGUUAAGUUUCUCAUGAUUCCUCGGCAGUACAAAUAGAGAUUUUAAAAGAUUUUCAAAACAUUGAUUUUGAAUGGAUGUUAGCCAUGCAAAAGUACCCGUCUUUGAUGAAUGGUUUAGGGGAAAAAGGUAGUUUUCUAACAAAAUUGUAGCACCUUGUGUGUGUUAUCUUUUAAAAUUUCAUUCCAAGUAAGAACUAGAUUCUGAAAAGAGUCUGAAUAGAGGUGAAAACAGAGACUCUGAAUACUGUGAGAUAGCGUCUAUGGUAACACGGCUAGUUCUCUAGAAUGAGAAAUGCAACCUUAAUUGAAAAGCCUUUGUGCGGAAGCAGUUUUGGACCCAAAUAAUUUCAAAAAAACAUUUUAAACUUUUACUUGAUUCAGAAGAUUGUUUAAGUACAUGCAAAAUAUCUAUAAGAGCAUACUGGAGGGAAAGCCUGUUUACUUUUAUAUUACUGUAAGUUAUUUACUCGCUUUUACAUGCUUAUGCUUUGAUUAAUUUUGAUGAACACUUCACAAGUAUCCACAUCCACUUCUAAAGAUGAUAAUGAUCCUAGAUUAUAUUUAGAUAAGAAAGAUAUUUCGUUUGUACUUAAAUUAGAAGUACAUGCAAAAUAUCUAUAAGAGCAUACUGGAGGGAAAGCCUGUUUACUUUUAUAUUACUGUAAGUUAUUUACUCGCUUUUACAUGCUUAUGCUUUGAUUAAUUUUGAUGAACACUUCACAAGUAUCCACAUCCACUUCUAAAGAUGAUAAUGAUCCUAGAUUAUAUUUAGAUAAGAAAGAUAUUUCGUUUGUACUUAAAUUAACUGAAAAAUCUGAAAACAUAUUUUCUAUUGGCCAAGAAAAACUUGAAGAAAUAUAUUGAAAUAUAGAUUAUUAUUGUGAGUAUAAUAUAAGAUUUGAUUCUGUAAGAACUAGUAGAGAAAUAAAAAAGGUAGAAGAUAUUAUAACUAAAUAUAAAGAUAUGCAAGAAGAAGUUUCAGAAGGAAUAAUUUUAGGAUAUAUAACUAAAAAAGAUCAGCCUAGAAUCUUUGAAGAAUUAUCAAGAUAUAGAGAAUAUUUAGAGGUAUUUGAAAAAUUAAAAAAUACAAACAUAAGUCCUGAUUAAUGAAUCUCGAAAGGAGAAGGAUACAUCUUGCAAAUAAUAAAAGUAAGGGUAAAAUAGUAUUUCCAAUAGCAAAGGCCAUUGUGAAAAAUAGAAUCAAUAUUCUGGCCAUUCAGAAGAUUGGUCCGAAUAAAAUGGCAAAAAGGUCCUCUUUGGGAAGUUAAUUACCCAUUAGAAUAAAUCUUCAGUAUCAAUUCAGAUCUAAUUCAUUGAAAAGUUAGGUGGGCUUCUUGAAUUUUGAGGAUUUAUUUGAUUUUCUUAAGGUUCUUGAAAGGGGAUUCUAUUAUAAUCUUGCAGAAUGCAAGGAGAAAAAGUGGCAAAAAG
Molecule: long non-coding RNA, 9102 nt
Filed under: Olea europaea (common olive)
Lineage: Eukaryota; Viridiplantae; Streptophyta; Magnoliopsida; Lamiales; Oleaceae
Description: long non-coding RNA (OEUR_LNC007724)
Source: RNAcentral